RNAcentral lists this ribosomal RNA (253 nucleotides) under uncultured bacterium. Its description in RNAcentral is "partial 16S ribosomal RNA". It matches the Rfam family "Bacterial small subunit ribosomal RNA", at positions 524 to 776 of the family's 1533-position model. The record is from RNAcentral.
UACAGAGGUCUCAAGCGUUGUUCGGAUUCAUUGGGCGUAAAGGGCUCGUAGGCGGCCAACUAAGUCAGACGUGAAAUCCCCAGGCUCAACCUGGGAACUGCGUCUGAUACUGGAUGGCUUGAAUCCGGGAGAGGGAUGCAGAAUUCCAGGUGUAGCGGUGAAAUGCGUAGAUAUCUGGAGGAAUACCGGUGGCGAAGGCGGCAUCCUGGACCGGCAUUGACGCUGAGGAGCGAAAGCUAGGGGAGCAAACGGG